This 118-nucleotide non-coding RNA is filed under the name human gut metagenome. RNAcentral describes it as "SAM riboswitch (S box leader)". It matches the Rfam family "SAM riboswitch aptamer (S box leader)". From Rfam's summary of the family: The SAM riboswitch is found upstream of a number of genes which code for proteins involved in methionine or cysteine biosynthesis in Gram-positive bacteria. The SAM riboswitch acts at the level of transcription termination control. The record is from RNAcentral. RNAcentral also lists the same sequence under 1 other name.
CCUUAUUGAGAGCGGCUGAGGGAAUAGGCCCUGCGAAGCCCGGCAACCUAUGUGCCAUGUGAGAGAUCAUGCAUGAAAGGUGCUAAAUCCUACAGAAUACUAUUUCUGAAAGAUGAGG